Molecule: ribosomal RNA, 492 nt
Filed under: uncultured bacterium
Lineage: Bacteria
Description: partial 16S ribosomal RNA
Rfam family: Bacterial small subunit ribosomal RNA
Source: RNAcentral
AGUGAACGCUGGCGGUAGGCCUAACACAUGCAAGUCGAACGGCAGCACAGUAAGAGCUUGCUCUUACGGGUGGCGAGUGGCGGACGGGUGAGGAAUACAUCGGAAUCUACUUUUUCGUGGGGGAUAACGUAGGGAAACUUACGCUAAUACCGCAUACGACCUACGGGUGAAAGCAGGGGAUCUUCGGACCUUGCGCGAUUGAAUGAGCCGAUGUCGGAUUAGCUAGUUGGCGGGGUAAAGGCCCACCAAGGCGACGAUCCGUAGCUGGUCUGAGAGGAUGAUCAGCCACACUGGAACUGAGACACGGUCCAGACUCCUACGGGAGGCAGCAGUGGGGAAUAUUGGACAAUGGGCGCAAGCCUGAUCCAGCUAUACCGCGUGGGUGAAGAAGGCCUUCGGGUUGUAAAGCCCUUUUGUUGGGAAAGAAAAGCAGCAGGUUAAUACCCCGCUGUUCUGGCGGUACCCAAAGAAUAAGCACCGGCUAACUUCGUG